UACGAAGGGGGCUAGCGUUGCUCGGAAUCACUGGGCGUAAAGCGCACGUAGGCGGGUCGUUAAGUCAGGGGUGAAAUCCUGGAGCUCAACUCCAGAACUGCCCUUGAUACUGGCGAUCUCGAGUUCGGGAGAGGUGAGUGGAACUGCGAGUGUAGAGGUGAAAUUCGUAGAUAUUCGGAAGAACACCAGUGGCGAAGGCGGCUCACUGGCCCGGUACUGACGCUGAGGUGCGAAAGCGUGGGGAGCAAACAGG
Molecule: ribosomal RNA, 253 nt
Filed under: uncultured bacterium
Lineage: Bacteria
Description: partial 16S ribosomal RNA
Rfam family: Bacterial small subunit ribosomal RNA
Source: RNAcentral